This 350-nucleotide ribosomal RNA is filed under the name Frankia sp. RNAcentral describes it as "bacterial SSU rRNA". It matches the Rfam family "Bacterial small subunit ribosomal RNA", at positions 28 to 390 of the family's 1533-position model. Lineage: Bacteria; Bacillati; Actinomycetota; Actinomycetes; Frankiales; Frankiaceae. The record is from RNAcentral.
GACGAACGCUGGCGGCGUGCUUAACACAUGCAAGUCGAGCGAGGAGCUUGCUCCUAGCGGCGAACGGGUGAGUAACACGUGGGCAACCUGCCCCAAGCUCUGGAAUAACUCCGGGAAACCGGGGCUAAUGCCGGAUAUGACAUCAUCGGGCAUCUGGUGGUGUGGAAAGAUUUAUCGGCUUGGGAUGGGCCCGCGGCCUAUCAGCUUGUUGGUGGGGUGAUGGCCUACCAAGGCGACGACGGGUAGCCGGCCUGAGAGGGCGAUCGGCCACACUGGGACUGAGACACGGCCCAGACUCCUACGGGAGGCAGCAGUGGGGAAUAUUGCGCAAUGGGCGAAAGCCUGACGCA